RNAcentral lists this ribosomal RNA (468 nucleotides) under uncultured bacterium. Its description in RNAcentral is "partial 16S ribosomal RNA". It matches the Rfam family "Bacterial small subunit ribosomal RNA", at positions 28 to 507 of the family's 1533-position model. The record is from RNAcentral.
GACGAACGCUGGCGGCGUGCUUAACACAUGCAAGUCGAACGGAAAGGCCCUGCUUUUGUGGGGCGCUCGAGUGGCGAACGGGUGAGUAACACGUGAGUAACCUGCCCUUGACUUUGGGAUAACUUCAGGAAACUGGGGCUAAUACCGGAUAGGAGCUCCUGCUGCAUGGUGGGGGUUGGAAAGUUUCGGCGGUUGGGGAUGGACUCGCGGCUUAUCAGCUUGUUGGUGGGGUAGUGGCUUACCAAGGCUUUGACGGGUAGCCGGCCUGAGAGGGUGACCGGCCACAUUGGGACUGAGAUACGGCCCAGACUCCUACGGGAGGCAGCAGUGGGGAAUAUUGCACAAUGGGCGGAAGCCUGAUGCAGCAACGCCGCGUGCGGGAUGACGGCCUUCGGGUUGUAAACCGCUUUCGCCUGUGACGAAGCGUGAGUGACGGUAAUGAGUAAAGAAGCACCGGCUAACUACGUG